This 489-nucleotide ribosomal RNA is filed under the name uncultured bacterium. Its description in RNAcentral is "bacterial SSU rRNA". It matches the Rfam family "Bacterial small subunit ribosomal RNA", at positions 29 to 525 of the family's 1533-position model. The record is from RNAcentral.
AGCGAACGUUUGCGGCGGGCUUAACACAUGCAAGUCGAACGAGAAUCCCUUCGGGGAGGAAAGUGGCGCACGGGUGCGUAACACGUGGAUAACCAACCCAUUGGUUUGGGACAACACCGGGAAACUGGUGCUAAUACCAGAUGUGUCGCAGCUGUCUUCAGGCGGUUGCGAGAAAGGCCCGCAAGGGUCGCCAACGGACGGGUCCGCGUCCCAUCAGCUAGUUGGUGAGGUAAUGGCUCACCAAGGCAAAGACGGGUAGCUGGUCUGAGAGGAUGAUCAGCCACACUGGAACUGAGACACGGUCCAGACUCCUACGGGAGGCAGCAGUGGGGAAUAUUGCGCAAUGGGCGAAAGCCUGACGCAGCCACGCCGCGUGAGCGAUGAAGGUCUUCGGAUCGUAAAGACUCUGUGGGGGGAGGAAGAAGAAAGCCGGUGAAGAGCCGGCCCUGACGGUAGUCCCUUACGUCAAGACACCGGCCGUAACUACCG